GUACAUUUAGCUCAGUUGGUCAGAGCAAACGGCUCAUAACCGUCCGGUCGUAGGUUCGAGUUACAUAUAGUAAUUA
RNAcentral lists this transfer RNA (76 nucleotides) under Enterococcus faecium. RNAcentral's name for it is "tRNA-Met". The stretch from base 5 to 71 matches the Rfam family "tRNA", at positions 5 to 66 of the family's 71-position model. Rfam says of the family: Transfer RNA (tRNA) molecules are approximately 80 nucleotides in length. Lineage: Bacteria; Bacillati; Bacillota; Bacilli; Lactobacillales; Enterococcaceae. The record is from RNAcentral.